UACGAAGGGGGCUAGCGUUGCUCGGAAUCACUGGGCGUAAAGCGCACGUAGGCGGACUCUUAAGUCAGGGGUGAAAUCCUGGAGCUCAACUCCAGAACUGCCUUUGAUACUGGGAGUCUUGAGUUCGGGAGAGGUGAGUGGAACUGCGAGUGUAGAGGUGAAAUUCGUAGAUAUUCGCAAGAACACCAGUGGCGAAGGCGGCUCACUGGCCCGAUACUGACGCUGAGGCACGAAAGCGUGGGGAGCAAACAGG
This 253-nucleotide ribosomal RNA is filed under the name uncultured bacterium. RNAcentral describes it as "partial 16S ribosomal RNA". It matches the Rfam family "Bacterial small subunit ribosomal RNA", at positions 524 to 776 of the family's 1533-position model. The record is from RNAcentral.